UACGAACGCUGGCGGCGUGCUUAACACAUGCAAGUCGAACGGAAAGGCCCUGCUUUUGUGGGGUGCUCGAGUGGCGAACGGGUGAGUAACACGUGAGUAACCUGCCCUUGACUUUGGGAUAACUUCAGGAAACUGGGGCUAAUACCGGAUAGGAGCUCCUGCUGCAUGGUGGGGGUUGGAAAGUUUCGGCGGUUGGGGAUGGACUCGCGGCUUAUCAGCUUGUUGGUGGGGUAGUGGCUUACCAAGGCUUUGACGGGUAGCCGGCCUGAGAGGGUGACCGGCCACAGAGGGACUGAGAUACGGCCCAGACUCCUACGGGAGGCAGCAGUGGGGAAUAUUGCACAAGGGGCGGAAGCCGGAUGCAGCAACGCCGCGUGCGGGAUGACGGCCUUCGGGUUGUAAACCGCUUUCGCCUGUGACGAAGCGUGAGUGACGGUAAUGGGUAAAGAAGCACCGGCUAACUACGU
This 467-nucleotide ribosomal RNA is filed under the name uncultured bacterium. RNAcentral's name for it is "partial 16S ribosomal RNA". It matches the Rfam family "Bacterial small subunit ribosomal RNA", at positions 29 to 506 of the family's 1533-position model. The record is from RNAcentral.